This 382-nucleotide ribosomal RNA is filed under the name Platypezina connexa. RNAcentral's name for it is "partial 16S ribosomal RNA". Lineage: Eukaryota; Metazoa; Arthropoda; Insecta; Diptera; Platypezidae. RNAcentral also lists the same sequence under 1 other name. The record is from RNAcentral.
UCGAAGGUAGCAUAAUCAGUAGUCUCUUAAUUGGAGGCUGGUAUGAAUGGUUGGACGAAAUAUUAACUGUUUCAUAUAAAUUUUUUAUAGAAUUUUAUUUUUUAGUUAAAAAGCUAAAAUUUUAUUAAAAGACGAGAAGACCCUAUAAAUCUUAAUAUUUUUGAAAUUUUAAUUAUAAAGAUUUAUUUAAUUAUAAUUUUUAAAAAUAUUUUAUUGGGGUGAUAUUAAAAUUUAAUAAACUUUUAAUUUUUAAAUACAUUAAUUUAUGAAUAUUUGAUCCAUUAUUAUUGAUUAAAAAUUUAAGUUACUUUAGGGAUAACAGCGUAAUUUUUUUGGAGAGUUCAUAUCGAUAAAAAAGAUUGCGACCUCGAUGUUGGAUUAA